RNAcentral lists this ribosomal RNA (277 nucleotides) under uncultured bacterium. Its description in RNAcentral is "partial 16S ribosomal RNA". It matches the Rfam family "Bacterial small subunit ribosomal RNA", at positions 333 to 602 of the family's 1533-position model. The record is from RNAcentral.
UAAUCCCUACGGGAGGCAGCAGUAGGGAAUCUUCCACAAUGGGCGAAAGCCUGAUGGAGCAACGCCGCGUGGGUGAAGAAGGUCUUCGGAUCGUAAAACUCUGUUGUUAGAGAAGAAAGUGCGUGAGAGUAACUGUUCACGUUUCGAUGGUAUCUAACCAGAAAGCCACGGCUAACUACGUGCCAGCAGCCGCGGUAAUACGUAGGUGGCAAGCGUUAUCCGGAUUUAUUGGGCGUAAAGGGAACGCAGGCGGCCUUUUAAGUCUGAUGUGAAAGCC